UCAGACGAUGCGUCAUGCAUAUCAAUAAGCGGAGGAAAAGAAACUAACAAGGAUUCCCCUAGUAACGGCGAGUGAAGCGGGAAGAGCUCAAAUUUGAAAUCUUAAAGGGUUUCCCUUUACGAAUUGUAGUUUAAAGAAGUGUUAUCUGUUGAGGUUUUGGUAAAAGUUCUUUGGAAUAGGACAUCAUAGAGGGUGAGAAUCCCGUAUUUGACCUUUACUUUCAACUUUGUGAUACACUUUCAAAGAGUCGGAUUGUUUGGGAAUGCAGUCCAAAAUGGGUGGUAAAUUUCAUCUAAAGCUAAAUAUUGGCGAGAGACCGAUAGCGAACAAGUACCGUGAGGGAAAGAUGAAAAGAACUUUGAAAAGAGAGUUAAACAGUACGUGAAAUUGUCAAAAGGGAAGCGUUUGACACCAGUGUUGUUUUUCUGAAAAUCAAUUAAAGAACUGUUUAUGCUAAGUUGUUUAGACUUUAUCAGCUAACUGUUUAGUUUUGAGCUUUUCUUUAAUGCACUUUUCAGUUAACAAGUCAACAUCAAUUUCUUUUGCUGUAAAAAAGCUUGAGGAAGGUGGCUUGAGAUUCGUCUUAAGUGUUUAUAGCCUCUUGCCUAUGCAGUCGGAGAGAUUGAGGUCUGCAGCGUAGAUCCUUCGGGGCUAAAUGCAUUUGUGCUAAGUUAUAGCAUUUUAUAGACAACUUGUUGACUAUGAUUUGUCUUGUAGCUUACUCGCUUAUGUUAUUUUACCUACGCUUAGGAUGUUGAAUCUGUGCGAGACUAC
Molecule: ribosomal RNA, 774 nt
Filed under: uncultured Neocallimastigales
Lineage: Eukaryota; Fungi; Neocallimastigomycota; Neocallimastigomycetes; Neocallimastigales
Description: partial large subunit ribosomal RNA
Rfam family: Eukaryotic large subunit ribosomal RNA
Source: RNAcentral